This is a non-coding RNA of Myodes glareolus (Bank vole), 130 nucleotides long. RefSeq annotates it as small Cajal body-specific RNA 4. The record is from RefSeq and is a predicted model, not a curated record. NCBI's taxonomy places the organism in Eukaryota, Metazoa, Chordata, Mammalia, Rodentia, Cricetidae.
UCUGGAGGACCAAGAAGGCUGAGUCUGAUGAAGCAAGACUUUGCUGAUCCACUCCUCCUAGACAAAGGGGUGGAGAAAGAACAGCCUUUCCUGGAGAAAACCGCAGGGCUGACAGUACUACCCAACAUUU